RNAcentral lists this ribosomal RNA (468 nucleotides) under uncultured bacterium. Its description in RNAcentral is "partial 16S ribosomal RNA". It matches the Rfam family "Bacterial small subunit ribosomal RNA", at positions 28 to 507 of the family's 1533-position model. The record is from RNAcentral.
GACGAACGCUGGCGGCGUGCUUAACACAUGCAAGUCGAACGGAAAGGCCCUGCUUUUGUGGGGUGCUCGAGUGGCGAACGGGUGAGUAACACGUGAGUAACCUGCCCUUGACUUUGGGAUAACUUCAGGAAACUGGGGCUAAUACCGGAUAGGAGCUCCUGCUGCAUGGUGGGGGUUGGAAAGUUUCGGCGGUUGGGGAUGGACUCGCGGCUUAUCAGCUUGUUGGUGGGGUAGUGGCUUACCAAGGCUUUGACGGGUAGCCGGCCUGAGAGGGUGACCGGCCACAAUGGGACUGAGAUACGGCCCAGACUCCUACGGGAGGCAGCAGUGGGGAAUAUUGCACAAUGGGCGGAAGCCUGAUGCAGCAACGCCGCGUGCGGGAUGACGGCCUUCGGGUUGUAAACCGCUUUGGCAUGUGACGAAGCGUGAGUGACGGUAAUGGGUAAAGAAGCACCGGCUAACUACGUG